UUCAGUUCCCUGGAACCAUUCCAGUACCAACAGCUGUAUCAGAGAGGGUUCGGUCAGGGAAGUGCACUCACCCUGAGUAUAUAAAACAAAUACUUUAAUAUAGAAAUUGGAUCUUACACAACUGUGAAAGAAAUUGGGAAAUAAAGGUGAAGUAGGGAAAACCAGUUGAUCAGAAGAGCCGCUAACCCGUCAACCUGAAGUCAAGAACAAUCAGCCUCUGAAGUAUAACCGCAAAUAAGAAGCUUGUGGAAAGAGCCCAGAUGUGAUCUAAGAAGCUUUCUCUAUGAAGCAUUCAAAGGAGCUGCUACCAAUCAGUCAGAUAAAAUCUGUUUUGCCACCCUGUCUGUAAUCCAACCUUCCAUUUUCAGAGGAAGAAAUGAAAGUCUAAGGCAAGGAUGUGACUUAACACAGGAACUUGCAGCAAGUUAGCUGCAAAUCCAGAAUUCAAAACUAGCUUUCUGCCUCCCAAUCUAACACGCCUUCUAUGGGACCACUGUAUCUUGUCUCUUUUGACACCACUAGAGAAAGCCCUUCACAGAAGAUUUGGUGAAGACCCUUUCAAAGAGUGACUACUACAUAAAUGGUUUAAUCACA
Odocoileus virginianus texanus is the source of this 594-nucleotide long non-coding RNA. RefSeq lists it as uncharacterized. The record is from RefSeq and is a predicted model, not a curated record. NCBI's taxonomy places the organism in Eukaryota, Metazoa, Chordata, Mammalia, Artiodactyla, Cervidae.